ACUUCCUUCUCCUCAGAGCCGUAUCCGGGUCGCUGCUUUCUCUAUUGUUUGGGGCAGGCGGCCUCGCGCUGUGCAAUUUCUGGGUCUUUUGUUGCUCUUGGUGCAGGCUAAUAAAGUUUUUCUUUCUUUAAUUUUUUUCUUCUAGUUUUAACGGGAGAAAUUAACUCUCCAGAGCCGCCGGGGAUUGGCCGCGCUGCCUGGGCCGGAGAGCUUCUCCGGCCGGGAAGCGCCUUAGGAAGGGGCUCGAGCGACCAGGGCCUGGCGUGGCCUGGGGGUGGGCGGGGGGCUUAGGGGACGGCGGGGCUACUCUUGGGAGCACCCUUGUCCCGCUGGCGGCGCGCCGGUUUUAAAUAGCAUCUUUCGGACCUGUCUCCGCGGCCCCAGUCCCCGACCUCGGCGCUGCCUGGGCUCCAGCAGCCUCUCCCUAAGUCUCCAAACGACCACCUCACGGAUUCCUUAUGGAUCGCAGCUCCAAGAGGAGGCAGGUGAAGCCUUUGGCAGCUUCUCUGCUGGAAGCUCUCGAUUAUGAUAGUUCAGAUGACAGUGAUUUUAAAGUUGGAGAUGCCUCAGAUUCUGAAGGGAGUGGUAAUGGAAGUGAAGAUGCUUCAAAGGACAGUGGAGAAGGUUCCUGUAGUGAUUCUGAAGAAAAUAUUUUAGAAGAAGAACUGAAUGAAGAUAUUAAAGUAAAAGAAGAACAACUUAAAAAUUCUGCAGAGGAAGAAGUACUAUCAUCAGAAAAACAAUUAAUUAAAAUGGAAAAGAAGGAAGAAGAAGAAAAUGGAGAAAGACCUAGAAAGAAAAAGGAGAAAGAGAAGGAAAAAGAAAAGGAAAAGGAGAAAGAGAAGGAGAAAGAGAAGGAAAGAGAGAAGGAAAAAGAAAAAGCAACAGUAUCUGAGAAUGUGGCUGCUUCUGCUGCUGCCACCACACUAGCCACAAGUCCUCCUGCUGUUAACACAUCCCCUUCUGUUCCUACUACAACAGCUGCUACAGAGGAACAAGUCAGCGAGCCAAAAAAAUGGAACCUUCGACGAAACCGACCGCUUCUGGAUUUUGUGUCCAUGGAAGAACUGAAUGACAUGGAUGACUAUGACAGUGAGGAUGACAAUGAUUGGCGACCUACUGUAGUGAAGAGAAAAGGGAGAUCUGCAUCUCAGAAAGAGGGAAGUGAUGGAGACAAUGAGGAUGAUGAAGAUGAGGGAAGUGGGAGUGAUGAAGAUGAGAAUGAUGAAGGCAAUGAUGAAGAUCAUAGUAGCCCUGCCAGUGAAGGGGGUUGCAAGAAGAAGAAGAGUAAAGUUCUUAGCAGAAACAGUGCUGAUGAUGAGGAACUGACCAAUGAUAGCCUGACCUUAUCUCAAAGCAAGAGUAAUGAGGACUCGCUGAUUCUUGAGAAGAGUCAAAACUGGAGUUCUCAAAAAAUGGACCAUAUUCUGAUUUGCUGUGUUUGUCUGGGAGAUAAUAGUGAGGAUGCUGAUGAAAUAAUUCAGUGUGACAAUUGUGGCAUUACAGUCCAUGAAGGUUGUUAUGGAGUUGAUGGAGAGAGUGACUCUAUUAUGAGUUCAGCUUCUGAAAACUCCACUGAACCUUGGUUUUGUGAUGCCUGUAAAUGUGGUGUUUCUCCUAGCUGUGAACUAUGUCCUAACCAGGAUGGAAUUUUCAAGGAGACAGAUGCUGGAAGAUGGGUUCAUAUUGUUUGUGCCCUGUAUGUUCCUGGGGUAGCUUUUGGAGAUAUUGACAAAUUACGACCAGUAACACUAACAGAAAUGAACUAUUCCAAAUACGGUGCCAAGGAGUGUAGCUUUUGUGAAGACCCUCGCUUUGCUAGAACUGGAGUUUGCAUUAGCUGUGAUGCAGGGAUGUGCAGAGCCUAUUUCCAUGUGACCUGUGCUCAGAAGGAAGGCCUGCUUUCAGAGGCAGCAGCAGAAGAGGACAUAGCAGAUCCGUUCUUUGCUUAUUGUAAACAACAUGCAGAUAGAUUAGACAGAAAGUGGAAGAGAAAAAACUACUUGGCUCUACAAUCCUAUUGUAAAAUGUCUUUGCAAGAGAGAGAGAAGCAACUAUCACCAGAAGCACAGGCAAGGAUCAAUGCCCGACUUCAGCAGUAUCGUGCCAAAGCGGAGCUAGCUCGAUCCACCAGACCCCAGGCCUGGGUUCCAAGGGAAAAAUUGCCCAGACCACUCACCAGCAGUGCUUCAGCUAUUCGUAAACUUAUGCGGAAAGCAGAACUGAUGGGGAUCAGUACAGAUAUCUUUCCAGUGGACAAUUCAGAUACUAGUUCUAGUGUGGAUGGAAGGAGAAAACAUAAGCAACCAGCUCUCACUGCAGAUUUUGUGAAUUAUUAUUUUGAGAGAAAUAUGCGCAUGAUUCAAAUUCAGGAAAAUAUGGCUGAACAAAAAAAUAUAAAAGAUAAAUUAGAGAAUGAGCAAGAAAAGCUUCAUGUGGAAUAUAAUAAGUUAUGCGAAUCUUUAGAAGAACUUCAAAACCUGAAUGGAAAACUUCGAAGUGAAGGACAAGGAAUAUGGGCCUUACUAGGCAGAAUCACAGGGCAGAAGUUGAAUAUACCGGCAAUUUUGCGAGCACCCAAGGAGAGAAAACCAAGUAAAAAAGAAGGAGGCACACAAAAGACAUCUACUCUUCCUGCAGUACUUUAUAGUUGUGGGAUUUGUAAGAAGAACCAUGAUCAGCAUCUUCUUUUAUUGUGUGAUACCUGUAAACUACAUUACCACCUUGGAUGUCUGGAUCCUCCUCUUACAAGGAUGCCAAGAAAGACCAAAAACAGUUACUGGCAGUGCUCAGAAUGUGACCAGGCAGGGAGCAGUGACAUGGAAGCAGAUAUGGCCAUGGAAACCUUACCAGAUGGAACCAAACGAUCAAGGAGGCAGAUUAAGGAACCAGUGAAAUUUGUUCCACAGGAUGUGCCACCAGAACCCAAGAAGAUUCCAAUAAGAAACACGAGAACCAGAGGACGAAAACGAAGCUUCGUUCCUGAGGAAGAAAAACAUGAGGAAAGAGUUCCUAGAGAGAGAAGGCAAAGACAGUCUGUGCUGCAAAAGAAGCCCAAGGCUGAAGAUUUAAGAACUGAAUGUGCAACUUGCAAGGGAACUGGAGACAAUGAAAAUCUUGUCAGAUACCCUUCAUGAGACCCAACUCUGCCACAGCUCAUCCACGGAGGCAAUCCCGGAAACCUCUUUUAUAAGUGUGAUUUUAAAAAUGUGGAUUAAACUCUCAAUAGAGUACAUAAAGUAAAGGAGAACAGCUAUCUUGUCCUUUCUAUAAGCUUAUCACUGCAAAAAGUUGCCUUUUGCUUGUCAGGUUUGGAUAGCAUAUAAUUGAUUGGUUUGUUACUUGGACUAACAAGGCAAUAGAUUUGCCUAUGUGGAUUUUUUUUCCUAUUUUUCUUCUUUUUUUGCACUAAUCAGAAACAUUUGAUAUGUGCAUUGUUGAAAAAAACUGGAUACAUGUCUUAUCAGAAUUGUCCUAUAAAGUAAUGUCUUUCCCUCUUGCUUCUUUGGCAAAUGAUGAUACACAGUGUUUGGACGUACUCAAGAGUUACUAAAGCCUGUGGGACUUAAUAAAUACAAUAUGCUACUCCCUGUUGUUGAACAAUACAAGUAACAAACAAGAAAGACAAUGUAUUCCAUUAAUCUGCUAUUCUGUUUCCUUCAACUUAAUACAUAGAUUCAUAUAUGAAGUGCUGCAUUGUAAAACAACUAUAGACUCUUAUAUUGGACGUUAUUUCUAUUUAUAGUAUUCAGCAAAAGUGAAAGACUUGUGAAACAUAUGACAUUCUAUUUUUGACUUAUUAGUCCUAGUGUGAAAUCAUUAAUAAUAUUAGCAUGAAAUUUUUACAAUUUCAGAGUUUAAGCUCAUGAAUAAAAAUACAUCUGUAUUGAUCUCUAGAUAUUUUCUAGUAAUCCCCAAAUAUAUUCAGUCCUUAUUGUUUUAAUAUAAACUUUCUGUGUUCAGUAUAAUUUUAUUUUUCUCAACCUUAAAUAUGAACUUAGGAAAUAAGGAGGGAGAUACAAAGAUUAUUGACUAUACAACCCACCAGCCGAAAGAAAGAUCUUCAUCAACAUCAGUAUCUUUCCAGAGGUAUACUGAAUUAAAUUUGAUCUUCAAGCUUUAAUGAUCCAAUUUUAAGUCAACGGCAGAAAUAUGUUGAAUAUUUCAUCACUCAAUCUUGAACUGACUUAGAGACUCUUUGCUGAAAUUGAAAUGCACAUAUACAUGUAAAUUGUCAACAUGUAAUUUGGAAUUUUCUGAUUAAUAAAUGUGGUUUUGGACAUAUUUUUGGGUACAGUGACAGUGGAAAAUAGUUUAAACUUUAGGAAUAGAGUAGGUGAUGUUAAUUAUCAAAAGCAAUUGUAAUUGUAAAGCAGCUGUAAUCCAGUAAUCUCUAGUUACAGUGAGGAACCCUAUGAUUGGAUGAAAUGUUUGAUAAAAAUAAAAUGUGUAUGUAAUUACAUAUAAACAGAUUAUUAACUUACUGAAGGAUCUCCUAACAUUGGGGGAGAAAUAUUCAUACUCUUUAGCAAAACUAGUAGCCUUUUUUUUUUAAAGAAUAAGAUGGGACUAGUUAUCACUAUAUAAGCUGGAGGAAAUGUUGGUAAUUAUUACUUUUGCUGGACUCUGGCUGAUUUUAAGCGAAACAACAGAUUGCCAUUUUCUAAGUGAAAUAUACUAAUAUAUUAGACCAUGGCCCUUUUUAAAUAUUUAGUGAGAAAUUACUAGCAGUUGCUUUAUUUUAGGUUUUUUGAGAAAUUGUUAGGCCUUGUUUUGGUAUCACUGUUAAUCAAAAUCCUUUUCACUUUGAUUCUAAUUAGAAUACUGUAUUAUUCUCCAUCUUGUGUUUUUGGUGGUGGUGGAUAUGUUACUCCUCGUUUGAUGCUAGUGCUAGUGCUAGUCUUAAGAAUCUUUGUCACAUGUUUUACAUAAAAAUUGCAAAAUUCAUAAGAUACAGACCCUGCAAAAAGUAAGUUGAAAUAAGAGAACUUUUGAAGUAACUAGAAUAGAGUGCUUUCUCCUAAUAAUCUCUUAAAUGUGCUCAUAGCCACAGUAUAAAAUUAUUCCCUGUCCAUAAUUGGUCCAACUGCUAUAAGGAGAAAAUUGAUAUGUGCUUAAGAAAAUAUGUACUAAGUGAUUCAUAUUUCAUAGUCGAACAUAAGAGAAAAAGACACAUCAGUAAAUGAUGGUUGUUUAUCACACAGUAGGGAAAGGAAGAAACAUUAACAUACCAGGAAGGAAAUGAAUGUCUCUGAAAUACAAGAAGAAUGACAAUAGUAAGUAGUGGUUCUCAAACUUUGUGCAUCAGAAUCACAGGAAAAUUUGUUAAAACACAGGAGACUACCCUGUCCUCUCCUCAUCCUCCCUCCACCCACAUUAUUCCCUCCUCAUUCUCCCUGAGUUUCUGAUUUAGUAGAAAAUUUGCAGUUCUAGCAAAUUCCCAGGUGAUGGUGAUGCUGCUGGCGUGGAACACCACAUUAAGAACCAUUUUUAGGUAGUAUUUUUUUUUUUAAAUCAUUGUGUUGUGCUCAACAUUGAUUGACAAAGGAAUGUGCUUUUUAAAUCUCCCUAAAAGGGCCCUUAGAUUUCCUCUAGAUUCCUCUAAUUUAUUCUAGAAAUUGGUAAUUCCAUCUUCAACAUGUGCAUUUUUUUUAUUUUACAAAUUUAAAUAAAUGUUUGUUUUACACUGACUAUGAAAACAACAGUAUUUUAGAUACAGAAAGAAAUCAAUAAACAUAGCCUGUGUUCACAAUUCACUAAUCCUUUUGUUAUAAAGACUUGAAAUUAAGAUUAUGUUUGAACAUGAAAACAAAACUUAGCCUUUAUCUGAAGUUUAGAAAUUAUAUUUAUGCAUUUUUUACAGAUCAUUGUCAUUCAUUGUUGCUUGAGUGUUCAUCCGAUUUUAUAUUUAUGAUGUUAAAAAUAGACUGCUGACCAAUAAAUAAUAAAAAUAUUUACACUCUAUCCUAUUUCCCUGUAUUCACAUCCUAUUACUUAAUGAAAACCACUGUUUUUAAACAACUUACCACUAUUUUACUUGAUUCUCAAUAUGAGAAUAUUUUAUGAAUAUUUCACUAAAAUCUAUUCAAGGAAUUCAAAAGGACUCUCCUGCAGAGCAGAAUAUUUACAUUAUUAUUUUUUUUUUACAUUUUAACAUGGCAAUUGAAACUUGUUUGAGAGACUCAACUUGGAACUUCAUGACAUAUGAAGGCAGAAUCAUUUUUCUACCUGUCUGAAUGAGCACUUUGUAAGUUUACAUAAAAUUAAGGAUUAUGAUUUCUAAGAUAGGUAUACUUUGCAAAUGUUUCUCUAUAAAAAUGGAAGCCUCUUUCUCAUAGUGCUCACUGUAAGGCUUUCUGUAGGCCUGCUGAUAAGAUUCACUGCUGUUCAGGUACAUAAGAUGUAAUGAAAUUGGAGGCACAUGCUGGGCUUUGUAAAUAAAAUGAGAUUGACCCCCAGCAAUUAUCUCAUUUAUCUGAUUUACAUUGUAAAAUCAGGAUCUACGCUAUUGAUUAGAACAUAAUUAGUUAAUUAUGAACAAGGAAAUACAAAGUUACUUGGAGCUUGAGCACAGCAGGUUGUACUGCUGAAAAAUUUCCAAGGGCAUGAGCAGAUGGAGAUCAGUUUAUUAAAGAACAAAGCAGAUGUGUUUCAGGUAUGGAAAUGUCUAAUCCUUCUCUCAUGCUGUGGAGAGGCACUUGACCUUAUUGGAUAUUUUUAUAUGAAUUGUUUUGCCUCAUCUUUCAUUUUUUUGUUUCCCAUUUAAUCUUGUAAUCUGGCUGCUGCAGACAUAACUAACUGAACUGAUCCCACUCUUGAAGUGACUAUUAAAUAUAGAUUUGGAUUCCAAUACGUUUCCAAUUUUUUAAAAUUAAUUUUUAUGUGUACUUUUAUGUGUAAAUAAUAUUUUUGUCUAUCUUACUACUCAUUCAUUUAUUAUUGGCUGAUAGAGAAAUCUAUAGUGGUGUUAAUGAAAUAGGUUCAAUUCCUGCACAUUAGUCUAUUUGUGAAACAAAAGACAUUUUCUAAUUAUUUUGUAUAGAAACUGCUCAUGUAGGUAAUUUGCCCUAAAAUUGUUGUAAAUUACAAGGAAUAAUAUAUUGUACUUAUUGAUACUAAAUGUUAUUCAAUAUCGGUAGAAUGCAGAAUUUUGUGCAAGCUUGUAUUAUUUGUAAAGUGAUUUAACUCACUGAACACAAUUUGUAUUUUCUCCAUCUAUUAAGAUGUUUAAUUGAAAUAAUUGGCCACUAUUCAAUGAAAUAAUCACUACCUGUUAAUAGAUUUGCAUAGAUGUUUGAGAUGUUAGUGAGAUUUUUAUUUAAGUAAUGAUAAUAUUCAAGACUAAUAUUCUUGAAUGUUCUUGUGUGGAAUUUUUACACAGAAGUGAAAAAGUUGGAAAAUUCAAAACACUAAUUAUCUGAAUAAUUUUUUUUAAGGGGACAGACAUCAUAGUCUGUAUUUUCAGAGUCCAUUUAUUGUUUUGCUUUAUGUAAGCUUAAGGCGUUAUAAGUAAAAUGUUCCAUUGGCAUGAAAAAUAGUGUGAUUAUCACAAUCAACUUGAUCACAAAAGUGUAUUCUCUUGUUCAAGCCUAUGUUAUGAAUUUUGCUUCUUACUCAAGUUUAGCUUAUAAGUGACUAUAAAUUAUUUGCAUAGGAGGUGCACUUAAUUUUUUCAGUUAGGUUUUAAAAAGUAGUUUUAGUUGACUCCUUUAAUGCAAUUAUCCAUUAGAAAUUAGAGAUGUUAAAGAAACCCUUUGGAACGCUGACUUUAGGCCUGUCUCUUAGGCAUAAGAAGAAAUAAAUCAGCUGCUGCUUUUUACUUGUUUGCAUAUUCUCAGUAGUCAGGUAAACACCUGACUUAAUUGCUUGUUAUAUGGAUCAUAGCACAUAUAAAGAUAAAUCGCUUUUCCCUCUUCUUUGUUUAGGGUGCUAUUCUUAAUCAUGUACUAAGUAAGUAUUUACAUACAUAUAGACUAUGUUUAUUUGGUCACUGUAUUUUAAUUAAUGUGUAAAAGACCAUAUAUAUAGCUACUUGUUAUUUACAUCUAUAUUCGUUAUUAAUCUGAUGCCUAGGAAGUUGCAUUUAGUAAGAAUCUAAUUAAUCAGGUUUGCCUUUAUCUUAUAAUUGGGAUUACUUUAUGCUCUGUAGUGUAAUUGUGUACAGUGUUUACUAGAGGCUUAAAUGAUACUUCUUUAAGCAUCCAGUUUUCAUUUUAUUAAAAAAUCUUAGUGUUUGUUUACAGGUUAGUUUUAUAUUCUCUUUUAAUAUUUUAAGACAUUGCUUUCCUAUUUAAUAAUGUGCUAUUGGCAUAAUAGUCUGUUUUUAUGACAUAGACGUUUGUGUUAUUUAAUAAAGUAUAUUGUCUUAUAUCACUAUACUUUUGUGGGUCAGUGAUUGCUUUUGCAAAUGUUUUUUAAAAACAUUUUAUUCACUGUUUAUUUUGAUAAGUUGACUAUGUCCUAUAUUAUGUGCUGCAUGUCUUUCCAAGUUUGUGUAAGAAAUAAAGGUAGAAACCUUAAAUAAAAUUGGUCAAUAACUACUUUAACUCCAUUGCAGCUUAUAGAUGCUUAUGAGUUUUUGGUUUUUGAGUUUUUUAAAUCGUCUAAAUUUGCAACAUAGCCAGAGUUUGUUGGGUGACAGAAUUUGAUAAAGAUUACAAAGUGUUAUGUGUGCAUAAAAUUAAUAAGCUGCUAUUUUGGCCAUCCACAUUGUUCUUUGAUUUCUUGGGUUCUUAAUAGUAUCUCUUACAUUUGUCUGUAGUUUAUUAAUUCUCUCAAGUUCUGCUAGAGUUCACUUGUGUUUAUCAGGAUGUUUCUGUGCUUAGCACAUAAAGCUAUAGAUUGUUUCAAUUCAAUAUUCUAACGUAGAAGCAGCCAGAUUUUUUCACAUUGAAAUAAUUUGAGACCUCUUUACAAAGAACUUGUAUUUGUAUAUUUAUUUAUCAACAAAACUAUUGACUUCAAGAUUGGCUCUUUUUUUCCCUCUUUUUUGGAUUUUGGCAGUUCCUAAGCAUACUAACUACUUCUUUUUGCUACUUAGUCUUGAAGCUGCAGCUUUUAUUUACUGUUGAGUGAGCUAGAAGUUCAGAGAACUUCCCUAUUAUCCCUAAUUCUGACAAGCAAAUCCUUUUUCCUUUGGAAUGCAUCACAAAUACAUGAGAGUUGCACAUGUCGACUAAGUAAUUCUGAAUGGUAUCACUAAUGAAGGACCCAGACAGCAAGGAUUAGGUCAUUUCUAAAUAGCAUAUAUUUGUUACUGUCUUCUGAUAACUUUCUGUUACUCUUUUCACUAGUUCUUGAGCUGAAAGAUAAUUUGAUUUUACAAGUAGUUGAAAUCAGCAACAGAUUGGAACUGUAUCAGUGCAGCAAACUUGUUCUUAGUUUAUCAGCUGGACUUUCAUAGCUAUAGAAACAAGAAUUAUUUAUGUACAUUAAGGUGAUAAAUAAUGAAUUAUAAUUCAUGUUCAUCAUACUUGCCUCAAGUUAUACACUAGAAAUCAUAAUUUGAAAAUUAUUAUGACACAGUUAUAAAGAAAAUAUGCAGUAAUUAGGUAGUAAAUUGAUAUGAACUAGGAAGAUGUUAAUACUUCAUCAAGAACUUUGAUUAUUAGCAAUCUGAACUAUAUGGCAUACUACCCAAAAACCUAAAGUUAAGGAAAAAAGACUAUAGUUAACAAACAAAAUUGAGCCUAUUAGUAGAAAUUCUCAUUUUCAUGUAUGUCUACUGUCCAUUUACAUAGCCUCAAUAAGCUUUAGUAUUCUGAUUUCUGAAUCCAUAACAGACUGUUUUUGGGGAAUUUAUGCUUAACCAAACACACUAACAAUAUCAGGAAGCAGUGGCUGAUAGUUUUCAAGCAAUUGAAGACCCUGAAAAUCUAUGAAAAUUGAAUACAAGAAUUUAAAUAGAUCAGCAGACUACUGGUCUACAUACCAAGGACGAAAGGCUGACAUACUGUUAGACGUGUAGCAGCAUAUGUUAUUCUUACUGAUGACCUGAGGUGACAAAUAUAAAUUAUAUUAAAUAUGUUUGUUUGUUUAAAUAAGCAAUGUGAUUAGUUUUAAACUUCUUAUCAAAUAUGAUUAAAACACAGGUUUUUAUGUAUGAAGGAGUACACUUUCAGUUAUUUACAAGUCUCAAUCUUCUCAUGAACUCAGGAAUACUUUGAAGAUUUCUAUAUCCAUAUGUUUAAUUGAAAUUUUGGCUAAUGAAAGGUAAAUAUAUUGUAUUGAGAAAAAAAGAGCAUAAAAUUAUGUGGGCUUGCCAGUUAGUCCGUUGAUGUCACAUUUGAAGUUAGCUUAUAUUACUUGUUAUUCUUACUUAAUGCCAGAACAACAGAUAUUUGAACAUUUAAAUUGCUUUUAAAUAUAUUUUUAGUUAUGUGUUAAGGUCAUAGUAAGUAAAGUACUGUUGGUACUAUUUGACUUUAUCUGUUCCUGUAGCUAGAACUGUCAUAGUAAGCAUUUUUUAAAGUCUUGAGUCUAAGAAGUUUUUGGAAAAGUACUUAAGCUUAUUUUAUUCAUAAGGAGAAAGUUGUAGAGGAAGAAAUACAUAAACUUAGGACAUUCAAUUGCAUUUUAAACUUCUUUAUACCUGAAUAACAUAGCUAAGUUGCUUAACUUUUCUGAAACUCUCAGUCCCAAAAGGAGUUUUUGGGAGACUGAAUUUUUGUAGCAUCAUAUGAAUUUCUACUAAAAAAUGUAGAUUUACAUUCCCUUGUAUUAUGACGGUUUCUCUAAGUUAAUUGUUUCUCAUUGUGUGUUGUUUAUGUAAGAAGAGCUUCUGCCUCUUUUUUCCUAAAAGGUUAUUGAAUAGUAAUUUUCAACUUUAUUUGAGUAAUACAUGUUCUAUAAAUUUUUCUGCUUGGUUUCUUAAUCGUAGAUUUCUUGACAUUUGAAGUUUUAAAUUGGUGAAAGAUUAAUAAAGAAAAUCUGACAGAUUGGUUGAGAAAGUGUUAUUGUUUAAUUUUUUUAAAAAAGUAGUGUGAAAUGAGGAAUGCAAUCCCUUUUAUAAGGUGUAUACUUUUUGUUAUUUGUUGUUAAAUUUUGGUCUUGUUAUUCCAACUGAUGCAAAAUUCUUUUUACAAAGCACUGAAAUAAUACAGAUUUUUCUUCAUUGUCAGCAGGAUGAGAUUGUCUGAAACGAAGAAUAGGUGUGAUGAAUGCAGACUCUGCUACCAUUUUGGCUGUUUGGAUCCUCCUUUGAAAAAGUCCCCUAAACAAACAGGCUAUGGAUGGAUAUGUCAGGAGUGUGAUUCUUCAUCUUCCAAGGAAGAUGAAAAUGAACCUGAAAGAAAAAAUAUAUCUCAGGAGCUCAGCAUGGAACAGAAAAACCCAAAGAAAUAAAAGAUUUUCUGUAGUGUUUUUGAAACGUUUGCAGCUUAUGUAAUAACAGAUAAAAUUUCUAAUUGUAAAAUGUUAAAUUGUAAAAUCUAAUUUGCAAAAUGUUCUCAAUAAAGUUAUUCAAAAUGAAA
Molecule: RNA transcript, 11471 nt
Organism: Cebus imitator (Panamanian white-faced capuchin)
Lineage: Eukaryota; Metazoa; Chordata; Mammalia; Primates; Cebidae
Gene: PHF14
Gene name: PHD finger protein 14
Exons: 19
Source: RefSeq, a predicted model, not a curated record